AGGUCGGCAUGGUAGGACUCCCUUGCACCAUGCAGCAAAGAGGGGCCUUCUAAAUACAGUCAAAUUACUUCUUUCCCAUGGAGCUAAUCCAUUGGCAAUGAAUGAUGAUUGUCAAACGCCUCUAGAUGUUGCUAGGACGAAAGGUAACAUCAAUGUUGUGCGAGCUAUCGAGUUGGGUGGUUGUUCUACCAACUGGUUCUCGUAAUCAUACAAUGCCUCUAAAGUUGGGGCUGGCGAUAUACUCUAGUU
This is a long non-coding RNA of Hibiscus syriacus, 249 nucleotides long. RefSeq lists it as uncharacterized. The record is from RefSeq and is a predicted model, not a curated record. NCBI's taxonomy places the organism in Eukaryota, Viridiplantae, Streptophyta, Magnoliopsida, Malvales, Malvaceae. The transcript is spliced from 3 exons.